This is a long non-coding RNA of Sciurus carolinensis (gray squirrel), 698 nucleotides long. RefSeq lists it as uncharacterized. NCBI's taxonomy places the organism in Eukaryota, Metazoa, Chordata, Mammalia, Rodentia, Sciuridae. The record is from RefSeq and is a predicted model, not a curated record. The transcript is spliced from 4 exons.
CCCAGCGGGCCACGUGCCCGCGCCCCGCGCCCCCCUCCGCCCGCGUGCGAGGGCCCCUCCCGGGCUGGGCGUUCCAGAGCCUCCGGCUUCGCCGAUCUGCGCAGCCCAGCUAGCGGGGCCACACGUCGGCUCUGGGCGGCGCCACUUUUGGGGCGCCCGCUUUCCCACUGGGGCGCCCACGGCCUAGCGGGGCUCGAGAGGCGCCCGCCCCCCACCCCGGCCGGCCCCGCCACCUCGGCCCUCUCCUUCGGUUUUCAGAAGCAGGGCAGGAGGCUGGCUCUCCUUGAUCACAUUUAGGGAUCCACCAAGGAAUGGACAGAGGACAGGAGCCACAUGCUUCUUGUAACAGCAAGGACAGAAUGAGGCUCUUGCUAAUUCCAGCUAAGUCAGGAUUGGCUGGUCCUUGUUGACUCAUGAGAGGCUGAUCUGUCUCCCCAAGAAGUUUUGCUACUCAGUCAUUUGGCCUGGAUAUUUCCUUGUUGUGGGGAGCUGACCUGUGCAUUGCAGAAUGUGCACCAACAUUCCCAGCCUCUACCUACCAGAUUAUGGUAGCAUUCCCCUCCCACAGCUGAGAGAAACAAAAAUGUCUCUGGAUAUUGCCGAGAUGUCCUGGGGGUCAGGGCAAAACUGUACUGUUGAGAACCACUGAACUGACAACAGCCAAUAGCCAAUAACAAACAUGCUUUGUAAAUUGUGUU